UACCCAAGAGAUGAAAAGAAACAGAGAACUCCCAAGCACACAGCAAACCGAAAUGCAGAAUACAGUGCUGUUGGCACCAAAUUUACAUACCUUAGUUCACCCUAAAAUUCAAAAAAAAAAUUCAAGAUUGUUCAUCACAUCGAAUCUUACGGCACAUUUAUAAAACAUUAAAUACAAAUAAAAAAUAACUAAUUCCACAAUUUAUCUGUAAUUUGCGAGACG
RNAcentral lists this long non-coding RNA (222 nucleotides) under Sorghum bicolor (sorghum). RNAcentral describes it as "long non-coding RNA (SBIC_LNC009321)". The record is from RNAcentral. Lineage: Eukaryota; Viridiplantae; Streptophyta; Magnoliopsida; Poales; Poaceae.